Molecule: long non-coding RNA, 535 nt
Filed under: Rattus norvegicus (Norway rat)
Lineage: Eukaryota; Metazoa; Chordata; Mammalia; Rodentia; Muridae
Description: long non-coding RNA NONRATT006236
Source: RNAcentral
AAUCCUAGAAUGGUUCACGUGCACAGAAUCCUGUGGAUCCCACCCUACCCCGAUGCAAAACCAGAAACAAACCACAAGCAAGUUGCCCUCUCGUCUGUACAAACAUGCGGAAUUGGGGAUGCCGUCAGAGCAAGUUGCUCAAGAUGACUUCUCUGGGGCCAUGCGUUCCAGCCCCCAGCUCUGUGCUUGAGGGAAUGGUGACUCUAUGUCCUGGACCCGAUGUUGGGGUGGUUCUCAGGGAGGGGAAGGGGGCCAGCCUGGUGGAAGCCAGGUCCCUUGCACAACCUCUCAUGCAGCUUGGUCCCUGUCCCUCGUGGAGGUCCCUGCUCAGGGACCUCUGAGCACAGCUUCUGCUCUAUUUCCUGGACUCUUUGAGUGUGGCAGCUGAGGUCCCCAGCCUGCAGGGAGGGGAUCUCAUGUAAGUCCUUCAGGCUUCAUUCCUAUGCAAGACAGGUAGGCUGCAGGCUCUAACACGCGCCAGCCUGGCUCCACCGAGGCUUCGGCACCAGGGGAAAUUAAAAAAAAAAAAAAAAAA